Molecule: ribosomal RNA, 647 nt
Filed under: uncultured Pseudomonas sp.
Lineage: Bacteria; Pseudomonadati; Pseudomonadota; Gammaproteobacteria; Pseudomonadales; Pseudomonadaceae
Description: bacterial SSU rRNA
Rfam family: Bacterial small subunit ribosomal RNA
Source: RNAcentral
UGAACGCUGGCGGCAGGCUAACACAUGCAAGUCGAGCGGAUGAGAAGAGCUUGCUCUUCGAUUCAGCGGUGGACGGGUGAGUAACGCCUAGGAAUCUGCCUGGUAGUGGGGGACAACGUUUCGAGAGGAACGCUAAUACCGCAUACGUCCUACGGGAGAAAGCAGGGGACCUUCGGGCCUUGCGCUAUCAGAUGAGCCUAGGUCGGAUUAGCUAGUUGGUGAGGUAAUGGCUCACCAAGGCGACGAUCCGUAACUGGUCUGAGAGGAUGAUCAGUCACACUGGAACUGAGACACGGUCCAGACUCCUACGGGAGGCAGCAGUGGGGAAUAUUGGACAAUGGGCGAAAGCCUGAUCCAGCCAUGCCGCGUGUGUGAAGAAGGUCUUCGGAUUGUAAAGCACUUUAAGUUGGGAGGAAGGACAUUAACCUAAUACGUUAGUGUUUUGACGUUACCGACAGAAUAAGCACCGGCUAACUCUGCGCCAGCAGCCGCGGUAAUACAGAGGGUGCAAGCGUUAAUCGGAAUUACUGGGCGUAAAGCGCGCGUAGGUGGUUUGUUAAGUUGGAUGUGAAAGCCCCGGGCUCAACCUGGGAACUGCAUCCAAAACUGGCAAGCUAGAGUACGGUAGAGGGUGGUGGAAUUUCCUG